UACGGGGGAUGCAAGUGUUAUCCGGAAUAAUUGGGCGUAAAGCGUCUGUAGGUGGUUGACCAAGUCUGUUGUUAAAAAUCAGGGCUCAACCCUGAUCCGGCAACAGAAACUAGUAAACUUGAGUACGGUAGGGGCAGAGGGAAUUCUCGGUGUAGUGGUGAAAUACGUAGAUAUCGGGAGGAACACCAGUGGCGAAGGCGGUUGCCUGGGGCUUUGCUGACGCUGAUGCGCGAAAGCGUGGGGAGCGAUCCGG
RNAcentral lists this ribosomal RNA (253 nucleotides) under uncultured bacterium. RNAcentral describes it as "partial 16S ribosomal RNA". It matches the Rfam family "Bacterial small subunit ribosomal RNA", at positions 524 to 776 of the family's 1533-position model. The record is from RNAcentral.